This 30-nucleotide non-coding RNA is filed under the name Mus musculus (house mouse). Lineage: Eukaryota; Metazoa; Chordata; Mammalia; Rodentia; Muridae. The record is from RNAcentral.
UGUAAAACUGGAUCAUGUCAGAAGUGCUUA